CUCGCUGCUCUCCUUUCACUCUCACUUGCUCUCUUCUGUGCGAGUUACCCGGAAUCAGUGGUGGAUAUCUCGGGGCUCCACUGACUCAGCAGGGCGGGGAGAGCUGCGCACCAGGUGGCUUCCCCAAGGGGCUGCUCAAGGGCCCAGUGUGUUCCUACAGUGCCAUGAGAACUGGGGGUGAAGGGGAGAGGAGUGAGGGGUUUCUGCUGCCACCACCACCACCACAACGCUAAAUUUCGAAACCUCAGUAACGCACGACCCCCUUCCCCCCUCUUCCCCCUUCCUCUCCUCCGUGAACAGACAACACAGGGGGAGUUUGUGUUCCUCGUGGUAACAAGUACAGAGUUGUUCAUAAGCUCUGGCUGAAGAGAAAAAAAUGAUAAGUGCUUUGGUUGACCUAAACGAAAGUAAGCAGAAGUGACAGGAAGUUGAUGAAACGAACAAAGAACGAGUGCGUACGAACGAAAGAACGAAAAAAAUACCAAAAAAAAAAUAGUGAUACAAUUUGAAAACGGCAAAAGUGGCAAGGAAAAAAAAAAGUGUAUAUUGAAAAAAAAAAAAGAAAAUGUGUCAGUUAGUAAAGGAAAUAGAUGAAAAUAGAAAACACUUGAGAAAUUUCCCUUCGCGAUGCCACACAAACUAGAGCAA
This is a long non-coding RNA of Portunus trituberculatus (swimming crab), 648 nucleotides long. RefSeq lists it as uncharacterized. NCBI's taxonomy places the organism in Eukaryota, Metazoa, Arthropoda, Malacostraca, Decapoda, Portunidae. The transcript has 2 exons. The record is from RefSeq and is a predicted model, not a curated record.